Molecule: ribosomal RNA, 372 nt
Filed under: Triticum aestivum (bread wheat)
Lineage: Eukaryota; Viridiplantae; Streptophyta; Magnoliopsida; Poales; Poaceae
Description: partial small subunit ribosomal RNA
Source: RNAcentral
UUUGACAUGACAUUCUCAUAUGUCGCUGCUGGAUGGGAAGGUUCUGCGUCAGAUCAAGCAGUUCUAAGAUGGGUUGUUACUAGUGGGGGUUUUGUUGUUCCUGAAGGUAAAUUUUAUCUUGUUGAUUCUGGAUAUGCAAAUACUCCAAAAUUUAUUGCCCCGUACCGUGGAGAUCGUUAUCAUAUUGCUUCUUUUCGUGGAAGUAAUCGACGAUAUACUAGUGAGAAAGAUAUGUUCAAUCAUCUGCACGCACAACUACGAAAUGUUGUUGAGCGAACUUUUGGUGUUCUAAAAGCUCGCUUUCCAAUUUUAAGUAGGAAAGGAGGAAUUCCUUAUCCAUAUAAAACACAAGUCAAAAUUGUUAUGGCUUGU